RNAcentral lists this transfer RNA (70 nucleotides) under Cyrtodactylus ayeyarwadyensis. RNAcentral's name for it is "tRNA-Tyr". The record is from RNAcentral. Lineage: Eukaryota; Metazoa; Chordata; Lepidosauria; Squamata; Gekkonidae.
AGGUAGGGUGGCCGAGUAGGUGGCGGGCUGUAAAUCCGCCGACGGGGCACGCUUAAACCCCCCCUUCCAA